This 823-nucleotide long non-coding RNA is filed under the name Heterocephalus glaber (naked mole-rat). RNAcentral describes it as "lncRNA (ENSHGLG00100045315.1)". Lineage: Eukaryota; Metazoa; Chordata; Mammalia; Rodentia; Bathyergidae. The record is from RNAcentral.
GCUCUGUGGGGGUGGUCCUCACCCACAGAGAUCCCCAUGCAAGGGCAUCUGGAAGGGACACUGGUCUUUACCGUUCAGGGUGGCAGCGGAAGUCGUGCGACCCCACACUCUGACUCACGCUUCUUCUACCUUUCUAAACUUGGAAGCCGGGCCUGUGUCUGCUGUCUGCCAGGUGAGGACGCAGUGCGAAGAUGGCAGCCUGCGAGCCGGAAAGGGGACUCUCGCGAGACUCUGAGCGAGCUGGCAUCCUGACCUCAGACUUCCGGCCUGCAGACCUGGGGACGUCUGCUGUUUUAGCUGCCUGCCUUGGGGUCUAUCCCUGUGGCAGCCUGAGCUGAGACAGAAGUCAUUUCCUAAGGUCAGAAGCUCAGAAUAAAGAACCAUUUCUACCUAAGUCCAGCGCAGUUUUCCACUCGUGGUGCCUUUUUUGAGAGGAGCUUGCUGUAUUCUCCAGAUCCUGUGCAGAUUCAUGUCUGGGGCGGUAAAUUGGCUCGAUGGGAUUGAUGAUUUAUUUAGCUGAGUUGUCCCAGCUCAACUGGAGUCAGUCAGGUAAGGAGUGGGUCAGUUGGGGGAUUAAGGCAUUAUAUAUGCUUUUAAAAGGUUCAGGAACCAGAAGCCCCCAAAUGACAAUCUGGGAAGCAGGAGCCAAUAGUGUUUUUAUUCAUUUUUCAAGCUGAGAUGAAGACAAGCAUUUUAUUGGUUUUUAAUUUGAUACCAGUGAGCUCUCCCACACCAAUCAAGGCUUCCCCUGCUUAUGACCUGGGAGGGCUUCUGAUCUGAGAGGCUAUUCUGAGAGAUGGUUAGGGACUUGGGCAAACACAUG